RNAcentral lists this small nuclear RNA (23 nucleotides) under Arabidopsis thaliana (thale cress). RNAcentral describes it as "snRNA_05528". Lineage: Eukaryota; Viridiplantae; Streptophyta; Magnoliopsida; Brassicales; Brassicaceae. The record is from RNAcentral.
UACAGCUUCUUUGCAAACUAACG